Molecule: small nucleolar RNA, 88 nt
Organism: Anguilla anguilla (European eel)
Lineage: Eukaryota; Metazoa; Chordata; Actinopteri; Anguilliformes; Anguillidae
Source: RefSeq, a predicted model, not a curated record
CAUCUCCAAUGAUGCUUUGCACUGGGCUCCGAAUCCUUGUGACGAUUAAGUGCAGCUCUGCCCUGACAAGGUGGAGUCUGAGGAGAUU